Molecule: ribosomal RNA, 426 nt
Filed under: Triticum aestivum (bread wheat)
Lineage: Eukaryota; Viridiplantae; Streptophyta; Magnoliopsida; Poales; Poaceae
Description: partial small subunit ribosomal RNA
Source: RNAcentral
AUGUCAAGAUCAAGGGCCAGCUCUUUUGAGGUGAUUCUCGACAACCGCGUCUCGAGAAUCAACAAUCGGAUUGUAAAACAUAACGGAUGCGAUUUAUAUCCAGCAGCCGAGACCAUGCAUCAUAUUUUGCUCAGAUGCAAACUUGCCCAAGUUGUUUGGGCCAAGGCCGGCCUCCUGGAUUCGGCAAGCUCUACUGAAACUGCUGCAGACUUUCUGGCCUCUGGGGUUGCGAGGGAAGCAUAUGAUGCACUCUGGCAUGUUUUCUUUGCAGCUGGUGCAGUGGCGCUUUGGCAUGCCAGGAAUGCACAAGUCUUUCAUAACGUUUGUUGGACAACCGGAAAGGUUCUUACUGAGAUUGCUCAGCUACUCAUGCUCUGGAGGCUGAGAGCACCGGGAAGAAAUGCAAGGGAGGUUUUAACUUCUUGA